CGCUGUACUCAAUGUAGGAGCUGCCGAAGGCUGCGAUCUUUUGAUUUUGUUUUUAGAAGAUAAAGUCAAAAGAUCGCAGCCUUCGGCAGCUCCUACAUGUGUG
RNAcentral lists this unclassified non-coding RNA (103 nucleotides) under Pseudomonas helmanticensis. RNAcentral describes it as "microRNA mir-598". The record is from RNAcentral. Lineage: Bacteria; Pseudomonadati; Pseudomonadota; Gammaproteobacteria; Pseudomonadales; Pseudomonadaceae.